This 2925-nucleotide ribosomal RNA is filed under the name Enterobacter cloacae. Its description in RNAcentral is "bacterial LSU rRNA". It matches the Rfam family "Bacterial large subunit ribosomal RNA". The record is from RNAcentral. Lineage: Bacteria; Pseudomonadati; Pseudomonadota; Gammaproteobacteria; Enterobacterales; Enterobacteriaceae.
GGGUUGUGAGGUUAAGCGACUAAGCGUACACGGUGGAUGCCCUGGCAGUCAGAGGCGAUGAAGGACGUGCUAAUCUGCGAAAAGCGCCGGCGAGGUGAUAUGAACCCUUGACCCGGCGAUGUCCGAAUGGGGAAACCCAGUGUGAUUCGUCACACUAUCGUUAACUGAAUACAUAGGUUAACGAGGCGAACCGGGGGAACUGAAACAUCUAAGUACCCCGAGGAAAAGAAAUCAACCGAGAUUCCCCCAGUAGCGGCGAGCGAACGGGGAGCAGCCCAGAGUCUGAAUCAGCUUGUGUGUUAGUGGAAGCGUCUGGAAAGUCGCACGGUACAGGGUGAAAGUCCCGUACACGAAAGCACACAGGCUGUGAACUCGAAGAGUAGGGCGGGACACGUGGUAUCCUGUCUGAAUAUGGGGGGACCAUCCUCCAAGGCUAAAUACUCCUGACUGACCGAUAGUGAACCAGUACCGUGAGGGAAAGGCGAAAAGAACCCCGGCGAGGGGAGUGAAAAAGAACCUGAAACCGUGUACGUACAAGCAGUGGGAGCACCUUCGGGUGUGACUGCGUACCUUUUGUAUAAUGGGUCAGCGACUUAUAUUCUGUAGCAAGGUUAACCGUAUAGGGGAGCCGAAGGGAAACCGAGUCUUAACUGGGCGUUAAGUUGCAGGGUAUAGACCCGAAACCCGGUGAUCUAGCCAUGGGCAGGUUGAAGGUUGGGUAACACUAACUGGAGGACCGAACCGACUAAUGUUGAAAAAUUAGCGGAUGACCUGUGGCUGGGGGUGAAAGGCCAAUCAAACCGGGAGAUAGCUGGUUCUCCCCGAAAGCUAUUUAGGUAGCGCCUCGUGAACUCAUCUUCGGGGGUAGAGCACUGUUUCGGCUAGGGGGCCAUCCCGGCUUACCAACCCGAUGCAAACUACGAAUACCGAAGAAUGUUAUCACGGGAGACACACGGCGGGUGCUAACGUCCGUCGUGAAGAGGGAAACAACCCAGACCGCCAGCUAAGGUCCCAAAGUCAUGGUUAAGUGGGAAACGAUGUGGGAAGGCCCAGACAGCCAGGAUGUUGGCUUAGAAGCAGCCAUCAUUUAAAGAAAGCGUAAUAGCUCACUGGUCGAGUCGGCCUGCGCGGAAGAUGUAACGGGGCUAAACCAUGCACCGAAGCUGCGGCAGCGACGCUUAUGCGUUGUUGGGUAGGGGAGCGUUCUGUAAGCCGUUGAAGGUGGCCUGUGAGGGUUGCUGGAGGUAUCAGAAGUGCGAAUGCUGACAUAAGUAACGAUAAAGCGGGUGAAAAGCCCGCUCGCCGGAAGACCAAGGGUUCCUGUCCAACGUUAAUCGGGGCAGGGUGAGUCGACCCCUAAGGCGAGGCCGAAAGGCGUAGUCGAUGGGAAACAGGUUAAUAUUCCUGUACUUGGUGUUACUGCGAAGGGGGGACGGAGAAGGCUAUGUUAGCCGGGCGACGGUUGUCCCGGUUUAAGCAUGUAGGCGGAGGUUCCAGGUAAAUCCGGUACCUUUUAACGCUGAGGUGUGAUGACGAGGCACUACGGUGCUGAAGUAACAAAUGCCCUGCUUCCAGGAAAAGCCUCUAAGCAUCAGGUAACACGAAAUCGUACCCCAAACCGACACAGGUGGUCAGGUAGAGAAUACCAAGGCGCUUGAGAGAACUCGGGUGAAGGAACUAGGCAAAAUGGUGCCGUAACUUCGGGAGAAGGCACGCUGAUAUGUAGGUGAAGCCCCUGCGGGUGGAGCUGAAAUCAGUCGAAGAUACCAGCUGGCUGCAACUGUUUAUUAAAAACACAGCACUGUGCAAACACGAAAGUGGACGUAUACGGUGUGACGCCUGCCCGGUGCCGGAAGGUUAAUUGAUGGGGUUAGCGGCAACGCGAAGCUCUUGAUCGAAGCCCCGGUAAACGGCGGCCGUAACUAUAACGGUCCUAAGGUAGCGAAAUUCCUUGUCGGGUAAGUUCCGACCUGCACGAAUGGCGUAAUGAUGGCCAGGCUGUCUCCACCCGAGACUCAGUGAAAUUGAACUCGCUGUGAAGAUGCAGUGUACCCGCGGCAAGACGGAAAGACCCCGUGAACCUUUACUAUAGCUUGACACUGAACACUGGUCCUUGAUGUGUAGGAUAGGUGGGAGGCUUUGAAGCGUGGACGCCAGUCUGCGUGGAGCCGUCCUUGAAAUACCACCCUUUAAUGGCUGGUGUUCUAACGUAGACCCGUAAUCCGGGUUGCGGACAGUGUCUGGUGGGUAGUUUGACUGGGGCGGUCUCCUCCCAAAGAGUAACGGAGGAGCACGAAGGUUAGCUAAUCCUGGUCGGACAUCAGGAGGUUAGUGCAAUGGCAUAAGCUAGCUUGACUGCGAGAGUGACGGCUCGAGCAGGUGCGAAAGCAGGUCAUAGUGAUCCGGUGGUUCUGAAUGGAAGGGCCAUCGCUCAACGGAUAAAAGGUACUCCGGGGAUAACAGGCUGAUACCGCCCAAGAGUUCAUAUCGACGGCGGUGUUUGGCACCUCGAUGUCGGCUCAUCACAUCCUGGGGCUGAAGUAGGUCCCAAGGGUAUGGCUGUUCGCCAUUUAAAGUGGUACGCGAGCUGGGUUUAGAACGUCGUGAGACAGUUCGGUCCCUAUCUGCCGUGGGCGCUGGAGAAUUGAGGGGGGCUGCUCCUAGUACGAGAGGACCGGAGUGGACGCAUCACUGGUGUUCGGGUUGUCAUGCCAAUGGCACUGCCCGGUAGCUAAAUGCGGAAGAGAUAAGUGCUGAAAGCAUCUAAGCACGAAACUUGCCCCGAGAUGAGUUCUCCCUGAGACUUAAAGUCUCCUGAAGGAACGUUGAAGACGACGACGUUGAUAGGUCGGGUGUGUAAGCGCAGCGAUGCGUUGAGCUAACCGAUACUAAUGAACCGUGAGGCUUAACCUUACAACGCCGAAG